GAGUUUGAUCAUGGCUCAGAUUGAACGCUGGCGGCAUGCUUUACACAUGCAAGUCGAACGGCAGCGGGGAAGUGCUUGCACUUCUGCCGGCGAGUGGCGAACGGGUGAGUAAUGCAUUGGAACGUACCGGGUAAUGGGGGAUAACUUGCCGAAAGGUAAGCUAAUACCGCAUACGCUCUUAGGAGGAAAGCGGGGGAUCGUUUGACCUCGCGUUAUCCGAGCGGCCAAUGUCUGAUUAGCUAGUUGGUGGGGUAAAAGCCUACCAAGGCAACGAUCAGUAGCGGGUCUGAGAGGAUGAUCCGCCACACUGGGACUGAGACACGGCCCAGACUCCUACGGGAGGCAGCAGUGGGGAAUUUUGGACAAUGGGCGCAAGCCUGAUCCAGCCAUGCCGCGUGUCUGAAGAAGGCCUUCGGGUUGUAAAGGACUUUUGUACGGGAAGAAAAAGUUGUGGCUAAUACCCAUGACUGA
Molecule: ribosomal RNA, 471 nt
Filed under: Conchiformibius steedae
Lineage: Bacteria; Pseudomonadati; Pseudomonadota; Betaproteobacteria; Neisseriales; Neisseriaceae
Description: bacterial SSU rRNA
Rfam family: Bacterial small subunit ribosomal RNA
Source: RNAcentral